Long non-coding RNA from Anastrepha obliqua, 1301 nucleotides. RefSeq lists it as uncharacterized. NCBI's taxonomy places the organism in Eukaryota, Metazoa, Arthropoda, Insecta, Diptera, Tephritidae. The record is from RefSeq and is a predicted model, not a curated record. The transcript is spliced from 3 exons.
GGCUGUUUGGUUUGCUCAGCGACAAGCAAAAUUUCAGUAGUGUUACGUCCUGCUAAUAGUAGUGAAUGGAAUUACUGUUAUUUUCGGUGCACUAGUCGCGUGAACAACAAACUACAGCGAACAACUCACGUGGAAAAACAACAACUUAACUCUAUUCAAAUUUUACUGUUUAUCUGUUUGACAAUUUUUAUUUACUUCGAAUAUGUGGACUUUUUGUUGUUGCAGUUCAAUUUGUUCGGUGCUUCUUUUUUCUUACCGACGUGAAUUGUUUGAUUUUAGUCGUGAUGAAAAUUUUUCAUGCCACUUGAAAUGCCACGGGAUGCAAUUUUCUAAGUGAUUUGGAAGUGAUUGGUUUAGCUGCUUGGCGUUGUGUCGAUUGCUUCGGCCCUUACAAGUUGGAUACGCGUCGGUUUUUUUUUGUUUAGCGAAUUGUGAUUGACGCCUAAGGCGGCAGUGAGAGUGCUUGCAUGGAUCGCCUUGGAGUUAGGCUUGCGGAUUGUCAGAGCAAGAAGAAUUCGCUUAGUGAAAACUUGUUAUCGAAGUUAUUUUGUGGUGUUUGGUAAAAAUUGUCGAAAGUAAUGGCUGAAGUGUGAUUUAUUAAAGCAAUGACUGGCUAAAGUUAUUUGCUUAACCCAAAGAGAACAUCGCUUUUCGGAAACCUUAACGAUAUUUCUUUUCCAAAAAAAAAUAGGCAGCAUUGUAUAUUAUGAAAUCGUCAAAAACUUCGUGUUUUGUGUUUAAAAGUGUAGUACCAAUUGUAUGAAAAUUCCAUACGGUCUAGAGCAGAGUUUUCCUUUCGUUAGGCAUCAAAAAGUAAUAUCUACUUUUUAAAAGUGAGGAAAAAAAAAUUUUAAUUUAAAUAUUUGAAGACAAAAUAAGUUUGUCCCAGCGCCAUUUUUCGGCAUUUUCUUACGACUUUUCUCCAUUUUUGACACACCCGUUACCAAAUACAUUUCUAUUCUGGCCAAUCUGUGGCAUCGCCUACGUUCGCCACGGCCCAAUCGGGCUGGUGGCGGCUACUUUCUUACCGGCACCUCACAAUGGAAUGCCGUCGAAACGACGGGCGGUAUACACUCGGCCACCGAAGAGUAUGUGAUCAAGAGUGGACGUGGUCGUAGUUCGUUGGAAGCGAUCGCACGCGCAGCCGUUGCACCAUUAACGGCUAGCUCCAGUGCGGCAGCGGCAGGCGGUGGCAGUAAUACGAGUUCAACGACAACAACAACAACUGCAACUAGAAUGAUUGCGCCACGUUAUCGUUUUCGUGAUCUACUACUUGGCGAUUUCUCAUUCAAUGACGACGG